GCCUCGCCCCGCCCUGCCGCCUCGGCCCUCUCCUCCCGCUGCGCUCCAGGACCUGAAAGGCCGGGGAGCCCCGGGAUCUCGUGGACAGCCCAGACAGGCCCGGAGAGGGAACCCAGGAAUCAAUGGCAGCAAACGGAAGCAAAAGAUGACCCCUUUAACUGCUUGCCAUCUACCCACUGUGAGGAGCCCCUAGAAGCCAUCAAAAUCCUGCCCUAGAAAUUUGGAAUUGGGAUAGAAAGAGAGUUACUGUCUCUGGCUGUCUGGAACCAUUUCUGGCUCAAUGCCUGGAAUCCCUCCAGCCAGCCAGCUUGCUACCCAGCCUGAGGAUGACGUCAACAUACAAAGAACCGAACAGGGAGGUGGAAAGAACCUGGCUGUUUACCGAUAGCACUGAGUCCUCG
RNAcentral lists this long non-coding RNA (401 nucleotides) under Equus caballus (horse). Its description in RNAcentral is "lncRNA (ENSECAG00000050636.1)". The record is from RNAcentral. Lineage: Eukaryota; Metazoa; Chordata; Mammalia; Perissodactyla; Equidae.